CCUACGGGAGGCAGCAGUGGGGGAUAUUGGACAAUGGGGGGAACUCUGAUCCAGCGACGCCGCGUGAGUGAAGAAGUAUCUCGGUAUGUAAAGCUCUAUCAGCAGGGAAGAAGAAAUGACGGUAGCUGAGUAAGAAGCCCCGGCUAACUACGUGCCAGCAGCCGCGGUAAUACGUAGGGGGCAAGCGUUAUCCGGAAUUACUGGGAGUAAAGGGGGGGUAGACGGUGAUGUAAGUCUGGAGUGAAAGGCGGGGGCCCAACCCCCGGACUGCUAUGGAAACUAUGUGACUGGAGUGCAGGAGAGGUGAGCGGAAUUCCUAGUGUAGCGGUGAAAUGCGUAGAUAUAAGGAGGAACACCAGUGGCGAAGGCGACUCACUGGACUGUAACUGACGUUGAGGCUCGAAAGCGUGGGGAGCAAACAGGAUUAGAUACCCUUGUAGUC
This 442-nucleotide ribosomal RNA is filed under the name uncultured bacterium. RNAcentral describes it as "partial 16S ribosomal RNA". It matches the Rfam family "Bacterial small subunit ribosomal RNA", at positions 338 to 795 of the family's 1533-position model. The record is from RNAcentral.